UUUGUGGAUUAAAUUUUUGUUCGGACAUCUUGUUUUAUCACAUCUUUAGCAAAAUUGUCAGGUAUGAACGGAGAGUGACGAUUGGUAGGAAACGGAAGAUUCCAAAGAAACGUAAACAGAAGUUACAGAUGACUGUCUAUAAGUCAGAGAAUAUUCAAGUUGGAUCCUGCAGUAAAAUGUUGUCACCGUUGAAUGUAAAUGUUAAUGCCGUUGAGGUAGAAGAAGCGCCCACUGACACUUUCAGAGAAAUUACUCCAGAAAUGAUACACGAGGCUCUAAGAAGAUUAACUAUGUGGAGGCAAAAUGUUGAAACGGGUGCAAUAUAUGACUUUAUUCAAAGAAAUUACCCAGUAAAUCAGGAUAAGGAAGCAUUGGGUAUAGAACUUUUGGAAAAACUCGAAGUAGCCGUUUUAGUCGAAUAAUAAUAAUCAUUUAUAAAGAAUACUUGAGCGCACUGUAGACAUAUCUUCAAAUAUUCAGGAAUCGCAAAACAAACAUCAACCGACACUUGGACUUUAUGUGGUGCUUUGGAAAGGCCAAAGUUUAAUGACACACAUGUCACUUUAUUCUGGAAAGUCUACAGGGACACCAUGACUCCAUUAAAAAAGCCAAAUAAGACAAUGGAAACUUCGAAAAGUACAAGUGAGAAGCGAACACUGCGUGUUUACGAUGUCGAUAUAUUGUGAUUUUUUAUUUAUUAAACUUUGUAAGGGAUUGUGUCCCAUGAGACAAUGUUUUUAGAUAUUAAACCAAAAAGUACAGUUAA
Molecule: RNA transcript, 766 nt
Organism: Pieris brassicae (large cabbage white)
Lineage: Eukaryota; Metazoa; Arthropoda; Insecta; Lepidoptera; Pieridae
Exons: 6
Source: RefSeq, a predicted model, not a curated record